Molecule: ribosomal RNA, 310 nt
Filed under: Anthocorcina sp. MJM-2013
Lineage: Eukaryota; Metazoa; Arthropoda; Insecta; Coleoptera; Nitidulidae
Description: partial 12S ribosomal RNA
Source: RNAcentral
UGGCCUUUAAAGUUAAAGAAUUUGGCGGUAUUUUAGUCUAUUCAGAGGAACCUGCCCUAUAAUUGAUGAUCCACGAUUUACAUUACCAAUAUUUUUAAUUUAUAUAUCGUCGUAAUUUAAAUAUUUUAGGAGAAUUGUAAUAUUUAAAAUUUUGAAAAAGAAAAUAAUUCAGAUCAAGAUGUAGUUUAUAUAUUGGAAGAGGUGGGUUACAAUAAGUUUACUUAUGGAUGAGUAAUUGAAAAUUAUUUUGAAAAUGGAUUUGAAAGUAAUUAUAUAUAAAUUUGUAUGAUGAUUUAAGCUCUAAAAUAUG